UGAUGAGGUAGAGGCGCGAAAAAGAAGAGUAGGUAGUGUGAGGAUGACAACUGAGACCACUAUACAAAAGGCUUUUUUGCCGAAGUUAUGCAAACGUGUCAGCAUUUGCAUGGCUGGGGUUACCUUGAAUAAGGGUAACACUGUCAUUAUGGAUGAUAUCUAUAAUGGAGGGCUACUGAUCGU
This 183-nucleotide non-coding RNA is filed under the name Bacillus sp. (in: firmicutes). Its description in RNAcentral is "Bacillus sp. Lysine sequence". It matches the Rfam family "Lysine riboswitch aptamer". From Rfam's summary of the family: Riboswitches are metabolite binding domains within certain messenger RNAs that serve as precision sensors for their corresponding targets. Allosteric rearrangement of mRNA structure is mediated by ligand binding, and this results in modulation of gene expression. Lineage: Bacteria; Bacillati; Bacillota; Bacilli; Caryophanales; Bacillaceae. The record is from RNAcentral.